UACGGAGGGAGCAAGCGUUACUCGGAAUUAUUGGGCGUAAAGGGCGCGUAGGCGAUUCGAAAAGUCAACUGUGAAAGCCCAGGGCCUAACCCUGGAAGUGCAGCUGAUACUGUUGAAUUUGAGUUCCGGAGAGGAAGGCAGAAUUCCCGGUGUAGCGGUGAAAUGCGUAGAUAUCGGGAGGAAUACCAGUGGCGAAGGCGGCCUUCUGGACGGAUACUGACGCUGAGGCGCGAAAGCCAGGGGAGCGAACGGG
This 253-nucleotide ribosomal RNA is filed under the name uncultured bacterium. RNAcentral's name for it is "partial 16S ribosomal RNA". It matches the Rfam family "Bacterial small subunit ribosomal RNA", at positions 524 to 776 of the family's 1533-position model. The record is from RNAcentral.